CAAGUCGAACGCGAAAGCCCCGCAAGGGGUAAGUAGAGUGGCAAACGGGUGAGUAACACGUGGGUGACCUGCCUUCGAGUGGGGGAUAACGUCCCGAAAGGGACGCUAAUACCGCAUGACAUCCUGCGUUUGGAAACGCGGAGAUCAAAGCCGGGGAUCGCAAGACCUGGCGCUUGAAGAGGGGCCCGCGCCUGAUUAGCUAGUUGGUGGGGUAACGGCCUACCAAGGCGACGAUCAGUAUCCGGCCUGAGAGGGCGGACGGACACACUGGGACUGAGACACGGCCCAGACUCCUACGGGAGGCAGCAGUGGGGAAUUGUUCGCAAUGGGCGCAAGCCUGACGACGUAACGCCGCGUGGAGGACGAAGAUCUUCGGGUCGUAAACUCCUGUCGAGCGGGAAGAACGCUUCCCGGGUGAAUAAUCCGGGGAAUUGACGGUACCGCUAAAGGAAGCCCCGGCUAACUCCGUGCCAGCAGCCGCGGUAAUACGGGGGGGGCAAGCGUUGUUCGGAAUUACUGGGCGUAAAGGGCCAGUAGGCGGCCAACUAAGUCGGAUGUGAAAUCCCCAGGCUUAACCUGGGAACUGCAUCCGAUACUGGAUGGCUUGAAUUCGGGAGAGGGAUGCAGAAUUCCAGGUGUAGCGGUGAAAUGCGUAGAUAUCUGGAGGAAUACCGGUGGCGAAGGCGGCAUCCUGGACCGACAUUGACGCUGAACGGCGAAAGCUAGGGGAGCAAACGGGAUUAGAUACCCCGG
RNAcentral lists this ribosomal RNA (753 nucleotides) under uncultured Acidobacteriota bacterium. Its description in RNAcentral is "bacterial SSU rRNA". It matches the Rfam family "Bacterial small subunit ribosomal RNA", at positions 58 to 790 of the family's 1533-position model. Lineage: Bacteria; Pseudomonadati; Acidobacteriota. The record is from RNAcentral.